UCUGGCUCAGGAUGAACGCUAGCGACAGGCUUAACACAUGCAAGUCGAGGGGCAGCAUAAAAGUAGCAAUACUUGGUGGCGACCGGCGCACGGGUGAGUAACGCGUAUGCAACCUACCUAUCGAGAGGGGAAUAACCCGGCGAAAGUCGGACUAAUACCGCAUAAAACAGGGGCACCGCAUGGUGGUAUUUGUUAAAGAGAUUCGCUGAUAGAUGGGCAUGCGUUCCAUUAGGUAGUUGGUGAGGUAACGGCUCACCAAGCCGACGAUGGAUAGGGGAACUGAGAGGUUGGUCCCCCACACUGGUACUGAGACACGGACCAGACUCCUACGGGAGGCAGCAGUGAGGAAUAUUGGUCAAUGGGCGGGAGCCUGAACCAGCCAAGUCGCGUGAAGGAAGAAGGAUCUAUGGUUCGUAAACUUCUUUUGCAGGGGAAUAAAGUGCAGGACGUGUCCUGUUUUGUAUGUACCCUGAGAAUAAGGAUCGGCUAACUCCGUGCCAGCAGCAGC
Molecule: ribosomal RNA, 508 nt
Filed under: uncultured bacterium
Lineage: Bacteria
Description: bacterial SSU rRNA
Rfam family: Bacterial small subunit ribosomal RNA
Source: RNAcentral